This 27-nucleotide non-coding RNA is filed under the name Homo sapiens (human). The record is from RNAcentral. Lineage: Eukaryota; Metazoa; Chordata; Mammalia; Primates; Hominidae.
UGGAAGCAUCUCUGGGUUUCUUGUGGC